This is a non-coding RNA of Aedes albopictus (Asian tiger mosquito), 58 nucleotides long. NCBI's taxonomy places the organism in Eukaryota, Metazoa, Arthropoda, Insecta, Diptera, Culicidae. The record is from Rfam.
UAGCCUAGUGGUUAAGGCUAUGGGCUGCCAAUCCGGAGACUGCGGGUUCGAUUCCCGU